GUAAUAUCCCAUUUUCCACCUUAAAGAAGCUACGCUUAAGAUAAUCAUGAUCCCACCCAUUUCAUCUACCAGCAACUAGCAAGCCACCCUUCUUCUCAAAAAAAAAAAAAACACAAAAAACUAGCAAGCCACUCUACUUUGCUCUCUCUCUCUCUCUUUACGGGUUUCUAAAGAGAGUAAAUUUUGUCAAUUCUUCUUGGGUUCUAGAGUCCUUGCCCCAUUUCUUUCUGUCAUUCAUUGGCCUCCUCGGCACCUUUCGGGUAGGGGAGGGCACUCCUUCCUAGCCCAAAACGUGGGUUCUCACUCCUCACCUUUGAGCUGAGAUGUACAUAGACAGUCUUGCUUAGCUUUGUUGGCAGAUCUAGACGUCAUGGUGAGGGUUUUCUAUUGAAGAUCUACGUGCCUUCGUUUCUUUAGAGGAAUUGACAUGGCAAUUGUGGUUUUGAGAAGAGGGCUUUUCUAUGUUCUAUGGACAGCGAGUAGGUGUUGCGGUGGAGGAUAUCCCUCAACUGUUAAGGGUUAGCCGGUAUAUCGUGGCGACUCCCUAUGGCUAUAAGAGAUUGAGACACUGAUUUGGGCUCUACCUUCCUCUGCCAUGCUUUCCCACCUUGAUUCGCAGAUUUCUAGCAACUCUACCUCUAGUAGUUCCAAUGGGUGGCUGGGCUGAGGAACGUACCCUCAACCUAGAUAUGUCGUGUUCUUUCUUGGUUGGGCUUUGGGCUUUGUAUCAGGGCUGGAUAGAGUAGGCUUCUUUUGUUUUUUUAUUUGGGCUGGCCAUGUGCUGAACCUUCUCUUGCUAAUGGAUUUUACCUUGGGGGAAAACAAAAGGCCACUUUACUCGCGCCUGACAAUUGGGUUAGACCACCUAUCAAACUGAUUACUGCUUCCCAUAUUUCAGAUUUCACCUCUUUUAGACUGUUCUAGAUGCUACCGACAUUUAUCAAUUGCAGCCACAUUCAAUAACUGUAUCUCCGCUUUGAAUUGGACACCGUACCUUAUCACAUUUAAGCAAAUGAUGCUUGAAGACAUCAUCCAUUCCUUGAAAAUCUGUUUGCAGUUUCUUUAAUCUUUUAGCUCUCAACGCGCAAAGCUAGAAUUUAGAAACUAUAUCAUUUUUGACAAGAGCGACGAAUUUGUCAGGGCAUAAAUUUUUUUUUUUUUUUGCGUCAAGGCAUAAAUUAUAAUAUAUAAAAUUGAGGGAUUUUCAUUAAAGAUUUUAUGGAAUUAAUAUAGACAAACUAUUGAUUGUCCUUGGUGCUCAUUUUCUUAGUACUCGCUUUUGGUUUAUGUCUAUUAAGAGGUCAUACUCUUCGUUCUGUUUCUUGACAAUUAUGUGACAAU
Molecule: unclassified non-coding RNA, 1341 nt
Filed under: Hevea brasiliensis (rubber tree)
Lineage: Eukaryota; Viridiplantae; Streptophyta; Magnoliopsida; Malpighiales; Euphorbiaceae
Source: RNAcentral